Molecule: ribosomal RNA, 496 nt
Filed under: uncultured bacterium
Lineage: Bacteria
Description: partial 16S ribosomal RNA
Rfam family: Bacterial small subunit ribosomal RNA
Source: RNAcentral
AUGAACGCUGGCGGCGUGCCUAAUACAUGCAAGUCGAGCGAACAGACGAGGAGCUUGCUCCUCUGACGUUAGCGGCGGACGGGUGAGUAACACGUGGAUAACCUACCUAUAAGACUGGGAUAACUUCGGGAAACCGGAGCUAAUACCGGAUAAUAUAUUGAACCGCAUGGUUCAAUAGUGAAAGACGGUUUUGCUGUCACUUAUAGAUGGAUCCGCGCCGCAUUAGCUAGUUGGUAAGGUAACGGCUUACCAAGGCAACGAUGCGUAGCCGACCUGAGAGGGUGAUCGGCCACACUGGAACUGAGACACGGUCCAGACUCCUACGGGAGGCUGCAGUAGGGAAUCUUCCGCAAUGGGCGAAAGCCUGACGGAGCAACGCCGCGUGAGUGAUGAAGGUCUUCGGAUCGUAAAACUCUGUUAUUAGGGAAGAACAAAUGUGUAAGUAACUAUGCACGUCUUGACGGUACCUAAUCAGAAAGCCACGGCUAACUACGUG